RNAcentral lists this ribosomal RNA (569 nucleotides) under uncultured bacterium. RNAcentral describes it as "partial 16S ribosomal RNA". It matches the Rfam family "Bacterial small subunit ribosomal RNA", at positions 355 to 918 of the family's 1533-position model. The record is from RNAcentral.
UGGGGAAUUUUGGACAAUGGGCGAAAGCCUGAUCCAGCAAUGCCGCGUGUGUGAAGAAGGCCUUCGGGUUGUAAAGCACUUUUGUCCGGAAAGAAAUCCUUGGCUCUAAUACAGUCGGGGGAUGACGGUACCGGAAGAAUAAGCACCGGCUAACUACGUGCCAGCAGCCGCGGUAAUACGUAGGGUGCAAGCGUUAAUCGGAAUUACUGGGCGUAAAGCGUGCGCAGGCGGUUUGCUAAGACCGAUGUGAAAUCCCCGGGCUCAACCUGGGAACUGCAUUGGUGACUGGCAGGCUAGAGUAUGGCAGAGGGGGGUAGAAUUCCACGUGUAGCAGUGAAAUGCGUAGAGAUGUGGAGGAAUACCGAUGGCGAAGGCAGCCCCCUGGGCCAAUACUGACGCUCAUGCACGAAAGCGUGGGGAGCAAACAGGAUUAGAUACCCUGGUAGUCCACGCCCUAAACGAUGUCAACUAGUUGUUGGGGAUUCAUUUCCUUAGUAACGUACUAACGCGUGAAGUUGACCGCCUGGGGAGUACGGUCGCAAGAUUAAAACUCAAAGGAAUUGACGGGG